RNAcentral lists this ribosomal RNA (483 nucleotides) under uncultured bacterium. RNAcentral's name for it is "bacterial SSU rRNA". It matches the Rfam family "Bacterial small subunit ribosomal RNA", at positions 14 to 509 of the family's 1533-position model. The record is from RNAcentral.
CGAUUCUGGCUCAGGAUGAACGCUGGCGGCGUGCUUAACACAUGCAAGUCGAACGGGAUCCAUCAGGCUUUGCUUGGUGGUGAGAGUGGCGAACGGGUGAGUAAUGCGUGACCGACCUGCCCCAUACACCGGAAUAGCUCCUGGAAACGGGUGGUAAUGCCGGAUGCUCCAGUUGAUCGCAUGGUCUUCUGGGAAAGCUUUUCGCGGUAUGGGAUGGGGUCGCGUCCUAUCAGCUUGACGGCGGGGUAACGGCCCACCGUGGCUUCGACGGGUAGCCGGCCUGAGAGGGCGACCGGCCACAUUGGGACUGAGAUACGGCCCAGACUCCUACGGGAGGCAGCAGUGGGGAAUAUUGCACAAUGGGCGCAAGCCUGAUGCAGCGACGCCGCGUGAGGGAUGGAGGCCUUCGGGUUGUAAACCGUCGUUUAUCGGGAGCAAGCGAGAGUGAGUUACCCGUUGAUAAGCACCGGCUAACUACGUGCA